GUGUAACAACUCACCUGCCGAAUGAACUAGCCCUGAAAAUGGAUGGCGCUGAAGCAAACCACUUAUACUCAACCACUACGUAUGCCAAGUGCCAAGGCCUAGUGAGUAGGAGGGCGUGAAGCUUGUUGCAUAGCUUAUACCGUGAGGUUAAGUGAAACGGCCUUUAGUGCAGAUCUUGGUGGUAGUAGC
This 189-nucleotide ribosomal RNA is filed under the name uncultured eukaryote. RNAcentral describes it as "partial 28S ribosomal RNA". It matches the Rfam family "Eukaryotic large subunit ribosomal RNA", at positions 1280 to 1464 of the family's 3401-position model. The record is from RNAcentral.